RNAcentral lists this unclassified non-coding RNA (255 nucleotides) under uncultured fungus. Its description in RNAcentral is "partial contains 5.8S ribosomal RNA, internal transcribed spacer 2, and large subunit ribosomal RNA". The stretch from base 1 to 53 matches the Rfam family "5.8S ribosomal RNA", at positions 102 to 154 of the family's 154-position model. Lineage: Eukaryota; Fungi. The record is from RNAcentral.
GAACGCACAUUGCGCCCUCUGGUAUUCCGGAGGGCAUGCCUGUCCGAGCGUCAUUGCUGCCCUCAAGCACGGCUUGUGUGUUGGGCCCUCGUCCCCCCGGGGACGGGCCCGGAAGGCAGCGGCGGCACCGCGUCCGGUCCUCGAGCGUAUGGGGCUUCGUCACCCGCUCGUUAGGCCCGGCCGGCGCCAGCCGACCCCCCCUCAAUCUUUAACCAGGUUGACCUCGGAUCAGGUAGGGAUACCCGCUGAACUUAA